AAAGCCCUUUCGGGGGUAAGUAGAGUGGCGUCCGGGUGAGUAACACGUGGGUAAUCUGCCUCCGGGUGGGGAAUAACUCGCCGAAAGGUGAGCUAAUACCGCAUAAUGCAGCGGCACCAAAUGGUGAUUAGUUGUUAAAGCGGGGGACCCUUCGGGGCCUCGCGCCUGGAGAGGAGCCUGCGGCAGAUUAGCUAGUUGGUGAGGUAAUGGCUCACCAAGGCUUCGAUCUGUAGCUGGUCUGAGAGGACGGCCAGCCACACUGGCACUGACACACGGGCCAGACUCCUACGGGAGGCAGCAGUGGGGAAUUUUGGGCAAUGGGCGCAAGCCUGACCCAGCAACGCCGCGUGAGGGAGGAAAUCCUUCGGGAUGUAAACCUCACAAGCAAGGGAAGAGCGCUACAGGUCUAAUAAGUCUGUAGUCCGACGGUACCUUGCGUAAGCCACGGCUAACUACGUGCCAGCAGCCGCGGUAAUACGUAGGUGGCAAGCGUUGUUCGGAAUUAUUGGGCGUAAAGGGCGCGUAGGCGGUUUGUUAAGUCGGCUGUGAAAGCCUGGGGCUCAACCCCAGAGGGUCGGCCGAUACUGGCAAACUAGAGUACGGAAGAGGUAGCUGGAAUUCCCGGUGUAGCGGUGAAAUGCGUAGAUAUCGGGAGGAACACCUGAGGCGAAGGCGGGCUACUGGGCCGAUACUGACGCUGAUGCGCGAAAGCCAGGGGAGCGAACGGGAUUAGAUACCCCGGUAGUCCUGGCCCUAAACGAUGGACACUUGGUGUGUCGGGUUAUUCAGUCCCGGCGUGCCGGAGCUAACGCGUUAAGUGUCCCGCCUGGGGAGUACGGUCGCAAGGCUG
This 850-nucleotide ribosomal RNA is filed under the name uncultured Actinomycetes bacterium. Its description in RNAcentral is "bacterial SSU rRNA". It matches the Rfam family "Bacterial small subunit ribosomal RNA", at positions 71 to 896 of the family's 1533-position model. Lineage: Bacteria; Bacillati; Actinomycetota; Actinomycetes. The record is from RNAcentral.